CAAAGCAAGAACAAAAGAAGAAAAGGAAGAACAAAGCCCUAGGUGGAAAAUUCAAGGGAAAAGUGUGAAAAUUCAAAGAAUCAAGCGACAAAAGGUGAGAUUUUUCAAUUCUAGCUUGUGAUCUACCUUUCCUAUGCAUUCUUUUUCAUUUUCCAUGGUUGAGAAUCAAGUUUGCAUGAGGAUACCCUUGCUAGCCGGACAUGGGUGGAGGAGUUUUGAUGCUUGAUUUGGUUAGAUUUUAAGAUAUUUUAGUGUUUUUAGUUAGUUAGUGAUGUGUAGCAUGAAAAUCAAGCAAGAAAAAUUCAUGUUCUUCCAUCAGCCAUCAUUGGCCGAAUUCUCCAUGUGGAAUAUUGAUGAUGAUUUUGAUUUUAUUUCAAGUGAUUUGGUUAGGAAUUAGUGAUUUAUGGUGUGAGAAUCAAGUUUGAAAAAUUAUAGUGUUGAUGCACCCACCAUGGCUGAAUUUUUCAAGAGAAAAUGUGAGGAUGAUUUUCCCAUAUUUCAAGUUAUUUAAUUUGUGUUUCAUGAUUUGGAGUAUUGGGAGAAAAAUGGAAUUGUUUGGAGUUGAAUUGGACAUAUUGGCCAAUUAAUCGAGUGAUAGAUCGAAUUAGGCCAAUACUGUUUUAUUUAGGUAUACAAUUGAAUUUGUGUAGAACACCAUGUUUAGACGAUAAUCCGAACAAUUUACAUUCCAUUUCAUGCAUUAGUAUAGAGCCUGAGUUGGUUUUAUAACAAUUUAGCACAAAUGUAGUAAAUGGCUUAUUGUGCAUUAUGUCUAGGUGGUGAGCAUUCUGGUAAAAGUAAAGAGAUAGUACCUCGAGGAUCAAGAAUCGGAGUACUCAAAACUCGAUUUCCAUUACAGUGAGUAACCUUACUAUCUUCUUAAUUAUCUAAAGUGAUUUUUAUCCGAUUUUGUGAUUUUAUGGAAAAUAAGUUUAAAUGGUAAAUCUUUAUGUUUUAUAAGCAAAAUGUGAUUAAAUGAAAUGAUUUUGUAAAAUUGUCUUGAAAUUGAAAGAUGGUUUUGAAAAUGGAGUAAUUGGAGACUAAUUGUUGUGUUAUAAAUCAUGGUUUGAACUGAAUGGCUUAUGAUAAUAUUGGCAUGAAUGGUUGAAUUGGUAAAUGUGCUGAAAAUGUAUGAACUAUGUAUUUAGCCUUUAGAGGCUGGAUUGUGAUAUAAUUGCCAUGUCAUGCUGUUAAAUUUUAUUGUAUGGUGGGUUAUAAUUAGUCGCUGCAGUGGAUGGGUUCUGUGGACCAGCCUAUUAGAGGGACACGGUAACCCUAUUAUAUUCAUACCUCAGUAUGAGAGGCGCGGUUGGAUAAAUCCUGAGGUUAAAACUUUAGAGUUCAUUUCACGCCAAACCACCACUUGAGGGUGAACUCAGCCAACGCUAAGAAACGGCUAUGUUUUCAAAAUAAAAACAUGAUUUAUGCGUACAAAAACUUUUUAACAACCUUGGCGGACUCGGUUGGGAUAGCCCCAGGUCAAGGUAUCCUUGAUAACUGAGUAUGAGAAUGAUUUUGGCACGAGCCAAAAUUUUUGAAAAUCAUAAGCCUCGUUGUUUAUUUUGGUGAAAUGAAUCUAUUUUAUCUUAUUAAAAUGAGUUCGAAAUAUUGAGAAUCAUUUUUAUGCUAAUCUAUUUUAUCUGUCUCCAUUUACUCAACUUUAGAUAUUUUAGAUGAUAUUUGUUUAUUCUUCUGGAAUUAUAUAAUCUCACCACCCUUCUUUCCACCCAUUUUAGGCUCAGGAUAGUCGGUAGAUAGCUCACUUUGUUGAGGUCUACAGUUGGACUUGCAUCCUCAAAAACUGUAGGUUUACUGCUUUUGAUACUUUUAGUCGUUCGUGGGCCCACGUGUCACUGUAAAUUAAAUUUUAUAGUUUGGUUAUCUGUAUUACAGUAUGUAUGAAUUUAUUUAGUUUUUACGCUACAAAAAUUAUUUACAGGUAACUCUAUAAAUAUUGUUUUAUAAGAAAAUAGAAUAUUUUAU
This 1983-nucleotide long non-coding RNA is filed under the name Theobroma cacao (cacao). RNAcentral's name for it is "long non-coding RNA (TCAC_LNC005227)". Lineage: Eukaryota; Viridiplantae; Streptophyta; Magnoliopsida; Malvales; Malvaceae. The record is from RNAcentral.